This is a non-coding RNA of Pelobates cultripes (western spadefoot toad), 206 nucleotides long. The record is from the annotation of a GenBank genome assembly. NCBI's taxonomy places the organism in Eukaryota, Metazoa, Chordata, Amphibia, Anura, Pelobatidae.
AGGAUUCACUAUUUGGUAGUCGUGGAGAAUGUCGGCAAUCUUUCUUGUAGGAAGAGAAAAGAUGCUGGAGUGACAGUUCUUUGAGGUAAGCAGUUUACUUGGAUUCCCCAUUAAUAGUCUAUCUCUCUUCUCCUGCAAUGCUUUAGAUUUCCGUCCACGUUGAUGCCGUUUAGAGGAGUGGAGAGCGCUAAUGUUUUGUGUGUAAG